RNAcentral lists this ribosomal RNA (499 nucleotides) under uncultured Glomeromycotina. Its description in RNAcentral is "partial small subunit ribosomal RNA". It matches the Rfam family "Eukaryotic small subunit ribosomal RNA", at positions 591 to 1091 of the family's 1831-position model. The record is from RNAcentral. Lineage: Eukaryota; Fungi; Glomeromycota.
CCAAUAGCGUAUAUUAAAGUUGUUGCAGUUAAAAAGCUCGUAGUUGAAUUUCGGGAUCAAUACGUCGGUCGUGCCUUUGGUACGUACUGGCGUCAUUGGUUUUUCCUUUCUGACGAACCAUGAUGUCAUUAGUUUGGUGUUAUGGGAAGUUAGGACUGUUACUUUGAAAAAAUUAGAGUGUUUAAAGCAGGCUUACGCUUGAAUACAUUAGCAUGGAAUAAUGAAAUAGGACGUUCGAUCCUAUUUUGUUGGUUUCUAGGAUCGACGUAAUGAUUAAUAGGGAUAGUUGGGGGCAUUAGUAUUCAAUUGUCAGAGGUGAAAUUCUUGGAUUUAUUGAAGACUAACUACUGCGAAAGCAUUUGCCAAGGAUGUUUUCAUUAAUCAAGAACGAAAGUUAGGGGAUCGAAGACGAUCAGAUACCGUCGUAGUCUUAACCAUAAACUAUGCCGACUAGGGAUCGGAUGAUGUUAAUUUUAUAAUGACUCAUUCGGCGCCUUAC